CUUCUUAUAAAUACAGGGCCAGAAGAAUGAGAAGGAAAUCUGACAGGUAGAGUGAUAUCCCCCCACUAUGGUAGAAAAAGGAGUCCAGCACAGUCCCAGUCUCAAUAAGAUGAUCAUUUAUGAAUGAUGUCAAAUAAGUGGGUGAUGUGUCGGCCGUUAUGAAAUCUAUAGAAUCAGCUUAUUGAGACUGGAUAUAAAGAUGAGUCAACUCAUUUUAACAAAAUUAUAAAUGUCUAUCUAUAGUCAUUCCCCAAAAAUAAAGGAAGCACCAAAGGACUGCCUAAUGUAAAAUGUCUUUAUUAGAAAAUGUAAGUAGCCAAAGAAAACACACGUAAAGUGACCCAAAAGUUCC
This is a non-coding RNA of Pelobates cultripes (western spadefoot toad), 352 nucleotides long. The record is from the annotation of a GenBank genome assembly. NCBI's taxonomy places the organism in Eukaryota, Metazoa, Chordata, Amphibia, Anura, Pelobatidae.